Molecule: ribosomal RNA, 253 nt
Filed under: uncultured bacterium
Lineage: Bacteria
Description: partial 16S ribosomal RNA
Rfam family: Bacterial small subunit ribosomal RNA
Source: RNAcentral
UACGGGGGGGGCAAGCGUUGUUCGGAAUUACUGGGCGUAAAGGGCUUGUAGGUGGCCAACUAAGUCAGACGUGAAAUCCCUCGGCUUAACCGGGGAACUGCGUCUGAUACUGGAUGGCUUGAGUGUGGGAGAGGGAUGCGGAAUUCCAGGUGUAGCGGUGAAAUGCGUAGAUAUCUGGAGGAACACCGGUGGCGAAGGCGGCGUUCUGGACUGCAACUGACACUGAAAAACGAAAGCCAGGGGAGCAAACGGG